This 254-nucleotide ribosomal RNA is filed under the name uncultured bacterium. RNAcentral describes it as "partial 16S ribosomal RNA". It matches the Rfam family "Bacterial small subunit ribosomal RNA", at positions 524 to 777 of the family's 1533-position model. The record is from RNAcentral.
UACGAAGGGGGCUAGCGUUGCUCGGAAUCACUGGGCGUAAAGCGCGCGUAGGCGGACGAUUAAGUCGGGGGUGAAAUCCUGGGGCUCAACCCUAGAACUGCCUUCGAUACUGAUCGUCUCGAGUCCGGGAGAGGUGAGUGGAACUCCGAGUGUAGAGGUGAAAUUCGUAGAUAUUCGGAAGAACACCAGUGGCGAAGGCGGCUCACUGGCCCGGUACUGACGCUGAGGCGCGAAAGCGUGGGGAGCAAACAGGG